CAUGCAAGUCGAGGGGCAGCAUCAUCAAAGCUUGCUUUGAUGGAUGGCGACCGGCGCACGGGUGAGUAACACGUAUCCAACCUGCCGACAACACUGGGAUAGCCUUUCGAAAGAAAGAUUAAUACCGGAUGGUAUAGUUUUCCCGCAUGGGAUGAUUAUUAAAGAAUUUCGGUUGUCGAUGGGGAUGCGUUCCAUUAGGCAGUUGGCGGGGUAACGGCCCACCAAACCUACGAUGGAUAGGGGUUCUGAGAGGAAGGUCCCCCACAUUGGAACUGAGACACGGUCCAAACUCCUACGGGAGGCAGCAGUGAGGAAUAUUGGUCAAUGGACGAGAGUCUGAACCAGCCAAGUAGCGUGAAGGAUGACUGCCCUAUGGGUUGUAAACUUCUUUUAUACGGGAAUAAAGUGAGCCACGUGUGGCUUUUUGUAUGUACCG
This 436-nucleotide ribosomal RNA is filed under the name uncultured bacterium. RNAcentral's name for it is "bacterial SSU rRNA". It matches the Rfam family "Bacterial small subunit ribosomal RNA", at positions 54 to 480 of the family's 1533-position model. The record is from RNAcentral.